RNAcentral lists this ribosomal RNA (453 nucleotides) under uncultured bacterium. Its description in RNAcentral is "partial 16S ribosomal RNA". It matches the Rfam family "Bacterial small subunit ribosomal RNA", at positions 29 to 507 of the family's 1533-position model. The record is from RNAcentral.
AUGAACGCUGACAGAAUGCUUAACACAUGCAAGUCAACUUGAACUUCGGUUUGGGUGGCGGACGGGUGAGUAACGCGUAAAGAACUUGCCUCACAGCUAGGGACAACAUUUGGAAACGAAUGCUAAUACCUGAUAUUAUGAUUUUAGGGCAUCCUAGAAUUAUGAAAGCUAUAUGCGCUGUGAGAGAGCUUUGCGUCCCAUUAGCUAGUUGGAGAGGUAACGGCUCACCAAGGCGAUGAUGGGUAGCCGGCCUGAGAGGGUGAACGGCCACAAGGGGACUGAGACACGGCCCUUACUCCUACGGGAGGCAGCAGUGGGGAAUAUUGGACAAUGGACCAAGAGUCUGAUCCAGCAAUUCUGUGUGCACGAUGAAGUUUUUCGGAAUGUAAAGUGCCUUCAGUUGGGAAGAAAAAAAUGACGGUACCAACAGAAGAAGUGACGGCUAAAUACGUG